This is a non-coding RNA of Meleagris gallopavo (turkey), 5021 nucleotides long. The record is from RefSeq and is a predicted model, not a curated record. NCBI's taxonomy places the organism in Eukaryota, Metazoa, Chordata, Aves, Galliformes, Phasianidae.
AAAAAGAAUCACCAGAAAACAGACCCUAUGUAUUUCUGUAUCUCCUAUAUAGUAGAGAGGAUAAUCCUCAGAUGGUAGAAAUCCUGUCUCUCACCCGUCUAUCAAGAGAGGCUUAACUACAUGACAACUGCUGCAAAAAGAAGAGGGGAAGUUAAAAAACAAAACCCACACCCUAACUUCUGGGAGAGAAAAUUAUCUGGUGAACAUAUGUCUAAAUGCUGAACUUCACAGGCUCUUAAAUCUGAAGUGGCCUGAUUUGGCUACUCAUGCAUGUCAAGUAAAGUCCAACUUGUCCCAAUAAAUAGAGCUAAAAGGACAGGGGUCCUUUUAGCUGACCCUCAGGGAUCAGCUAUGUAACGCCAUAUGCAACAAAGCAGUGUGUACUUUUCACCUCUGCUGAUUUUGCUCUGAUUGUUAUCUUUGUGUGAGGGUUGAUCUUUGGCUAGUACUUGUUUGCUAGUACCAACAGGAGGUUUGAGGUCACAUAGCCUGAAACAGUGAGGGGCUUCAACUUGUAUCUCUCCAGGUAGAUGAGCUUUAGGGCUUUUUUUUAGGGCUUUAAUCAACACAACUGAAGUCAAGACACAUAAGCAACUUCAUUAACUUGGAGUGGAACAACUUACUAACUUACUGGUGAACACAUCAGUAGUCUAUUGAACUGAGGCUUGAUGAAGAUGUGAGCUGUUGAUAAAGUUCCCUGAAAAUUUCACUGGCAAAGAUGGGGAAGAUGAUACCCUUAAUCAAAGCAUCGCAAUAAUCUGCAGAACAAACACAAGUUAAUACUGAAAGUAGCAAAAUUAAAUCUAAAUUGUAACAGUUUGUUUGACAUGUACGAUACAGAAAAAGGAGAGAAGAAUAUCAUCAUUAAUGUAUUGCAAUGAAAAUGUUUUGUGAAAGUACUCAGAUUAGCUGACCUUUUUUUAUAAGCUGUCUUGUCAGACCCAUAAGUAAGAUGGAAAAUAUUUUUUGCUAAUUUUAUUAAAUUGAAGGGAAAAUAUCUAAUUUCAAUCUGAUCAGUUUUAGAGCAAGCAGAAAAUGUGUGAUAAAUGAAUGUGAAUGACCUGCCUGCAGGCAAAUGCACAAUUGACUGUAUCUUUCUUUGUACUUGCCAACAUUAAAACUCAAGUGACAACACAUUUCUGCUUUACAUAGCUGGUUAAAAAAUAUAUAUAUAUAUAUAUUUUAAAGUAGUUUUACAAAUGUUUGGAAGAAUGAGCAUUCUUUGGAAGCAUUUCAAAUGUUAAUAGUAGAGCUGUAGGAGAGCAGAAAGAGACAAAUAGAACAAAAGCAUUGCUCAGAUUUACAUAACUAAAUCUAACAGUGGCUUGUGUAUCACUUUCCUUUCUAGUCUGUGAUAAAUCGCAUGUGCAAUAUCUGCAUUUGUUGGCAGAUGAAAGAUGGAAGCACAGGGAGGUGUUUCUCAUUAAAUGGAACUGCCCUUAAUUUUUUUUUCUUCUAAUAACCAAAAAAGAAGGCAUCAGUUUACUGUACUUGGCUGUAUGUACUUAUUUAAAAUUUCCCUGAGUGUAUUAACAGUGUAGCACAGCACAUUCAGCUGAUAUAAUUUGUGGUGGGUAUGGGAGGGAGUGAAGACCUCAUACUUGGGUUUGGGAAUAUCUACCAUGGGAAAUCUCCUAUGAAAUAACUGUUACUUCAUGCAGUGUGGUCCAUUCCAGAUGCUAACCAUUUACCCUUCAGAUAUUUUUCAUGAGCCUUGCAGAUAAGAUAGCUCACUGGGAAUUGAUUUAGCUGUGUUCAGAAAACUAAGCCCUCACCAGAGAUGGGGAAAUCACCCCGCCUUUCUUUAAUUUGGUGGUAGAGCAUUAACGAAGGGAACGUUAGUCUCUGGAGCUUUCCCCCACCCUUUAAUACAUCAGAUUCAUAUUAGCAAUAUUUACUUUCUGAGAGGGUGACACAAUUUCAGCUGUUUUCAAUUUUUGCUUAUGGUACCCUAGAGAAAAAUGUAUAUACAAGUAACAAUUUUUCAUUUAUAUGUUUUAUUGCAGUGGAGCUGAUCACAAUAGCAUAGUAACAGUUGCUUUGCAGAUUUGGUUUUGACAGCAUUUGAUUCUUUGCCACAGUGGAGGUAGUUGGUCGUGUUAAGAACUGCCACAAAAGCAGAACAUAUACACAAAAACCAACAGAAGCUUUAAUUUUACUACUUAGGCUGGGAUUUACUUUUAAACAUUAGCUGUCUUUCUUUGAUUGCAAGAGUGCAGCUCAAUCAUAUAUUUUGUUUGUCUUUUGUUAACUUGACCGAACAGAUGCUAAGCUGGCCUUUCUGUUGUAAGGAUGGUUUAGCAUAUUGCCUGUAGCAGAAAUGCUGAGUCAUGGCCUGAAGUAGUGAUUGAGUAAUUGGUGGGAAGGCAGGGCCAGCCUAGGGGAUCUCAGGUGCAUGUAAUGCCCUUGAGUGACCAGAAGGAAUGGAGCCAGGAUUCAGCCCUUCCCAGACUUCAUUUAAGGGUUGGCAGUGGAGGCGAAGGUCUGUCACUGGAUAUCUCUGCAUACCUGAGGUCUUCUGAGGGGAUCAGAAUUCCAUUCCAUAUGACGAAAUGUGACUGCAGUUGGUGUCUUUACUAUGGAAAAAGUGUACUGGAAUCACCACUUAUGCUUUGUUGAAGAGAAGAAAAAGGACUGGGGAGAAGAGACUCUACCAUCUCUUGAAGUUCACAUUUGAUGGAGUUCUCCCUAGCAGAAGGCCUACACAAUGCCUAGAUAACACGUGGAGUCAAAACACGAAGAGAGGGAGGCAGGGCAGUACAUGAAUGUUGCUUAACCCCUACGAAGCAGAGAGUAAAAAUAUUUUUGUGGAUUUGAACUUGCUCUGUGUGUGUGUCUUGGAACAGUGUCAGAUGACUCUUUUUCAGGCAGCAGUUGUUAGUGUUGUCAGUGCCCUGCAGUAUCUUGUCUGUAAGCUUUUCUGAUCUGUUUGGGUGACUAUGGACCGGUUAGACUAAAACUGUGUCCUUUGAGCUGCAGGGGGUAUGUCUACUUCAGCGCUUCAUUUUGAAUCAGGAGCAGGCUUUGGAAGCCAAAUUCCUGGCCAUUCACCCCUGUGGCAUUUUGGUUUACAUGAAGCAAGUCUCAUAAGACAAAUAGAAUUCCCUCUGGGUGAAAUUAAACUGUGGCCUGGAAGUACACCUAAUGUGCUCCAGUGGGUUUGCAGUCCACGCUGGAAUUGGUUGGAAGUAAUUCACCCUAUUAUCAGAUGCUUGAGACAUAGCUUCUGUUCUGUUGACCCCUUUCUCUUGUACUGCACUAAUUGUUACUGGAGACAGGCAUACAGUCUGAUCAUGGGUUUUUUUUUUUUAAUGUGUUUAUUCAAAUCUGUUCUUAUGUCUUUCUUCUGGAAUUAAUUACUGUUCAUUAACAAAGUGAUUGGUGAGAAACAGGAUGAGGCAGAUGGUGACCAGCCAGUGUGCUUUAGCGUGAUGCCCUUCUCACCCUCAGUGACAGUAUUGCGGCUCACUCAUUAGGAGCAAUUUUCAGUGUAGUCAACUGUUCUGUUUCCGUUGACUCUUGAUAUAAAAAUAUAUCAUAAUCUAAUGCCUGAAAGAACAAGCAAAAAUGUGAUAGUGUGACAAGGAGAUCUGUGGCUUACAGAUCUUCCUGUCUGUCUAUAUAUGGACAUCAGCAUGUUUUCUAGAGGAGGUAAAUUUUAUCUGUCAAUGCUUUAAAAAAGUACGUUGCAUUUCAAUUUUUCUUUUUUUGUCUUUGUGGGUUUUUUGUUCUCUUUUUGGAAAGAGCAAAUUUAAAAAAAGUAUGGAAAAGCACUCAAUGUCUCUUAAUAAUCUUGGUCUCUUACACUUUGUGCCAGUUCAAUAUUUUAGAUAUGUUUUGUCUAGUUCAGGAAAGCACAGAUAUUUCAGUAUGGGCUUAGAAGCCUCUUGCAGGUCCAUAUUGCAGUGGUAGAUGUCUACCCUGUCACUGUGUGAAUACAUCAGAAAAAGAUGUUGGUGCAGAUGAAACUUCUGAUUUUUCAGGAUAAAACAUAUAUCCUUAAGAUGACAUUAAAAAGUGAAAAAUCUAAAUAGCAGUUUUAUUGGCUAUGUAAACUAGUGCUAAAAGUAUAACUUGCCCUUGAUUUCCUUAUUCUUUUCUUCUUUUGACUGUAUCUUUCAACAGCACUGAGUAUUUAAUUUUAUCUGUCUGAUAAACUUCAGUUGAACCAAUAGAUACAAUCUGGAUUGCUUAUAGUCAGCUUGUACAGAAGGUUCUCUGUCUUGAGAUAAAGCAGGAACAAUCCAGGCCCAGCUCUUAAGUGAUGUCCAUAUGAUAACCUUGGGAAGAUUUCUGAGAGGAUACUGGUUCUGAGAUAUUUAGUUUGUCCUUCAGCUCACUGUCACCUUGACAGUAGUUGACACUAGCAGUUAUGUGGAACAAAUCCUUCAGAAAUACUUAAGGGUUGUCAACAUUAAGUUGUGCAAGGGAGAUGUAGGUGGAUUACAGGAAGCAGGUGUGAAAGUUACCAAAACUUGUGUUUGGCCCCUUGGUGGGGAAUAUUCAUGGAACUACAGCUAGCUGGGGAUACUUUGGACUACUUGUGAACAGAUGUUUUGCAAGUCUUUGAGUUCAGAUCUGUUCUAUGACUGGUAUUAUUGGUUCAUAUAUUUUGUGGUGUUUUCAGCUGCUUUCAACCUAUCUAUUGAAAGACUGUCUUUCUCCACAAGCCCCAUUGUCACUACUACAGUCGAGAUGUUUGAAGUGAUACACGUUCCCCUAAAACUGCCCUGGAUGGCUGAUUUACUAAGUGGGUUCUCUUCUUUGGAACUCAGGCUUUCUCCCAGGUGCAGAACCUGCCCUACUAUCUGACUUUGCAAGCAUCUGAACGUUGAGAUAAGACUAUCCUUUCCUCCCGGAGCUUGGUAAAGGUGUUUUGUUCUCUAAUCUAAAGAGAAUUGUCCAAAAUUGAAGAGGUUAAAAUCACCUAUUGACUUCUGCCUAUUUGAUUGCUUUUUGGAUGAGGCUCUGAACAGACAAUGUGCCAUAUGGGAUCCAGCCAAAAAAAAGUAAUUGAACAG